UAAAACCUAUUUAAAAUGGCGGCAUUUCAUCUUAUUAGAGGAAUCUGUUUUUUAAUCGAUAAUCCACGUUAAUUUUUGCUUUAAUCGAAAAUUUAUAUACCGCCAUCUAAAGAGUUAAUUUUUCAAUAUUAUUCUAAAUAAAAAAUAAAAAGUUAGGUCAAGGUGUAAUCCAUAUUAAAGAAAAUAAUGGAUUACAAUAAAAAUCAAUUAAGGAUAAUCUUAUUAAAAUAAUUUUUGAAAAAGAAUUUAAAAGUAAUAUUUUAAUAUAAUUAUUGUAUG
RNAcentral lists this ribosomal RNA (279 nucleotides) under Arctosa sp. NM-2005. RNAcentral's name for it is "partial 12S ribosomal RNA". Lineage: Eukaryota; Metazoa; Arthropoda; Arachnida; Araneae; Lycosidae. The record is from RNAcentral.